RNAcentral lists this long non-coding RNA (777 nucleotides) under Mytilus galloprovincialis (Mediterranean mussel). The record is from RNAcentral. Lineage: Eukaryota; Metazoa; Mollusca; Bivalvia; Mytilida; Mytilidae.
GUCGAGCGCUGUGUAACGGGUCCUGUCUCAACUCAGGAGUAUGUAAUUUAAAGUGGUUGUUGUUUGCAAAAGAGUCACACAUUUGUUUUUCAUUAAUUAUUUUUUUUUUAUUAUUUUCUAGUUUGAAUUGUGUUACAUUUGUCCUUUCGGGACCUUUUAUAGUUGUGUAUGCGGUAUGGGAUUUGCUCAUUGUUGUAGGCAGUACGGUGACCCAUAGUUAAUAAUUUCCAGUGUCAAUUGGUCAUUUGUGGAGCAUUGUGUUAUUUGCAAUCAUACCACAUUUUCUUUUUUUAUUAAUAUAUUUUCAGAAGAAUGACGCAAAAAACGUCGAAUAUAUUAAUUUGGUUUUUAUUAUCUCCAUGGCACGUUUUGUCAAAUCAUUUGAGAAUAAACACUGAAAACAUUUUUAAACUGACCAUGCGCAGAUUUAUUUUCAUAUCUACAUAAAACACUUGGAAUUUUAUAUCGAUUGAUUGAUUGAAAAGUCGAUCGCGAUGUAUCUAAAGCGUUUUCACUUGAAGAAAAAUCGGUUCAUAAAAAAAAUCGUUCUUUUAAAACUACGUCUGGGGAUGGAAUGUUUACGUCCGAUUGAAGAUCGAUCUUUCUCAUUUUUGCAAUACUAAAGAUCGGCGAUCUCAGAAAUGAUCGAUCUUUAUUGUUAUUGGAAACGGAGUCUUAGAUUUCUAAUGAUUUUAAGUAAUUAUCAUCAAAAUAAAAAGGAACAACAUUCUUAAACGAAAUUAAAAUUCAUGAUACCGGAAGCAAAAUUCUGUCUUG